GCAGUAGCCGCGGGAAUACGAAGGGGGCUAGCGUUGUUCGGAUUUACUGGGCGUAAAGCGCACGUAGGCGGAUCGAUCAGUCAGGGGUGAAAUCCUGGAGCUCAACUCCAGAACUGCCUUUGAUACUGUCGAUCUCGAGUCCGGAAGAGGUGAGUGGAACUCCUAGUGUAGAGGUGGAAUUCGUAGAUAUUAGGAAGAACACCAGUGGCGAAGGCGACUCUCUGGUCUGUAACUGACGCUGAGGAGCGAAAGCGUGGGGAGCGAACAGGAUUAGAUACCCGGGUAGUCCCUGUCUCUUAUAC
RNAcentral lists this ribosomal RNA (302 nucleotides) under uncultured bacterium. RNAcentral describes it as "partial 16S ribosomal RNA". It matches the Rfam family "Bacterial small subunit ribosomal RNA", at positions 508 to 807 of the family's 1533-position model. The record is from RNAcentral.